RNAcentral lists this long non-coding RNA (310 nucleotides) under Marmota monax (woodchuck). Lineage: Eukaryota; Metazoa; Chordata; Mammalia; Rodentia; Sciuridae. The record is from RNAcentral.
GAAUGCUUCCUGCCUCAGAUGUUUCCUUCAUCAUAUGCAGACAUGGCUCAAUGUUCUUUGCUAGGCUGCUGAGUCAGAAGCCUGGACCAGCCAGCUUCGGUUUUGAUGAAGUAGCUUAGGAAGGAAGUGUUGGGAGAGAUGGGUGCACAAUGCAGUCAGUGGGUGAGCUCAUGCUGCUCUGAAGACCCAAGCCCUGUGAGAGGAGCCGGUUUCCUGGAAAAGAGCACUGGGCUGGAAGUCAGGAAGCUAGAGCUAGUCUCAGCUCUGCCACCAAUCUGCUGCAAGACCUUGGUAAGUCAUUCCCUUUCUC